Gambusia affinis (western mosquitofish) is the source of this 962-nucleotide long non-coding RNA. RefSeq lists it as uncharacterized. Lineage: Eukaryota; Metazoa; Chordata; Actinopteri; Cyprinodontiformes; Poeciliidae. The transcript has 3 exons. The record is from RefSeq and is a predicted model, not a curated record.
AAAAGUUUCGGUUCUCUGUUUCUUUCCAAACUGACUGAGGAAACAUGGCGGAGGAGGAGAAACUUUCACUGCAGCUCGUUUAGAAGAUGAUCGAUGAAGAUCUUGUGUUAUACCGGCUCUGAUCCGUCUCCUUUAACUCAAAUGAUGCCGGACUGAAGCUAACUCCGCCGCGGCGAUUUAAUGCGACCCGACCCGGAUCCAGAUUUAUAAACGGGACCUGGAGCGUCGGCGUGGGAUGGGAGCAGCAUUGGAGUUUCCUCCAGCUAACAAGCAGGAUGGAUUUGUUCCUGGAUCCGGUCCUGACCUGCGAUCGGCCUCUUCGCUCCGUACAGAUCAGCUCUGAAGGUGGAAAGGAGGAGACGGAUGAGGCUUUAAAGUGACGGCGGAGGUCUAUGACUGCUAUUGAGCGGAGCGUCCUUAACAAAUGUCCCCAUCAGUCGCGGCGGCUGCAGUGAGGCUCGAUCAGCCGCCGCUGCCUCCUCUGCACAAGAUGGAUCUUUCAGCCUCCUGCCCUCCAUCACCUCGCCUCUCUCUCCGGUUCAUCCUCGUCCUCCUCUCCGUUCCCACACUCGGACAUCAGGCCAGUCUUUCUGCUUCCUGCUCACUUUUCCUUUCGACCAAAGUUAAAUCCACACUUUGCUUUUUCUGUGCACAAUAUUCUCACCUCUGUUUGUUUUUUUAUGAUCAAAACCUGCAGGAAAAGUCAAAUAUUGUCUGAUUGUAGGAAUUUUACAAAAAGAGAAUUUAAAUUCAUAAUUUUCAUUAAGAUAAAUUUUAAAAGGUUUUUAAAGGAAACAUUGGACAGUUUUAUAAUUAGGCUUUAAUUUAGUGUUUACAUGAUCUAUUUUGUAAUAUAUCAACUUCUACAGAUAAAACUAAGAAAGAUUUAUACUUUAUCAAUUAAUAUGGGGAAAAUGAAUCAAAUAUUUGCAAAUAUGUAAAGAGAACUUCGUGUUUGCAUC